AACGCUAGCUACAGGCUUAACACAUGCAAGUCGUGGGGUAACGAGAGGAAAGCUUGCUUUCCUUGUCGACGACCGGCGCACGGGUGAGUAACGCGUGUCCAACCUGCCCCCAACUAGGGAAUAACCUUGCGAAAGUAAGACUAAUACCCUAUAAUUUCCUCAGAUGUCAUCUGACGAGGAAUAAAGAUUUAUCGGUUGUGGAUGGGGAUGCGUCUGAUUAGCUUGUUGGCGGGGUAACGGCCCACCAAGGCAACGGUCAGUAGGGGUUCUGAGAGGAAGGUCCCCCACAUUGGAACUGAGACACGGUCCAAACUCCUACGGGAGGCAGCAGUGAGGAAUAUUGGUCAAUGGGCGAAAGCCUGAACCAGCCAAGUAGCGUGCAGGAUGACGGCCCUAUGGGUUGUAAACUGCUUUUAUACAGGAAUAAAGUUAGCCACGUGUGGUUAUUUGUAGGUACUGUAUGAAUAAGGACCGGCUAAUUCCGUGCCAGCAGCCGCGGUAAUACGGAAGGUCCAGGCGUUAUCCGGAUUUAUUGGGUUUAAAGGGAGCGUAGGCCGUCUGUUAAGCGUGUUGUGAAAUGUAGAUGCUCAACAUCUGAAUUGCAGCGCGAACUGGCAGACUUGAGUGUGCGCAACGUAGGCGGAAUUCGUGGUGUAGCGGUGAAAUGCUUAGAUAUCACGAAGAACUCCGAUUG
This 694-nucleotide ribosomal RNA is filed under the name uncultured Bacteroidales bacterium. RNAcentral's name for it is "bacterial SSU rRNA". It matches the Rfam family "Bacterial small subunit ribosomal RNA", at positions 32 to 715 of the family's 1533-position model. The record is from RNAcentral. Lineage: Bacteria; Pseudomonadati; Bacteroidota; Bacteroidia; Bacteroidales.